GAUGAACGCUGGCGGCGUGCCUAAUACAUGCAAGUCGAGCGAACAGACCAUGAUCUUGCUCCUCUCACGUUAGCUGCGCACGUGUGUGUAACACGUGUAUAACCUACCUAUAUUUCUGUUAUAACUUCGGGAAACCGGAUCUAAUACCGUAUAAUAUAUUGAACCGCAUUGUUCUUUAGUGAAAUACGGUUUUUCUGUCACUUAUAGAUGGUUCCGCGCCUCAUUAGCUAGUUGUUAAGGUAACGGCUUACCAAGGCGACGAUGCGUAGCCGACCUGAGAGGGGGAUCGGCCACACGGGAAAGGAGACAGGGAACAGAGGACUAAGGGAGGAAGCAGAAGGGAAUGUGACGCAAUGGGGGAAAGGAUGACGGAGCAACGCGGAGUGAGAGAUGAAGGUAUAGGGAUCGGAAAAAUCUGUUAUGAGGGAAGAACAAAUGUGUAAGGAAAUAAGCACGGAUUGACGGUAAAUAAUAAGAAAGCAACGGCUAACUACGUG
RNAcentral lists this ribosomal RNA (497 nucleotides) under uncultured bacterium. RNAcentral's name for it is "partial 16S ribosomal RNA". It matches the Rfam family "Bacterial small subunit ribosomal RNA", at positions 28 to 507 of the family's 1533-position model. The record is from RNAcentral.